This 274-nucleotide ribosomal RNA is filed under the name uncultured bacterium. RNAcentral's name for it is "partial 16S ribosomal RNA". It matches the Rfam family "Bacterial small subunit ribosomal RNA", at positions 523 to 796 of the family's 1533-position model. The record is from RNAcentral.
AUACGGAGGAUGCAAGCGUUGUUCGGAAUCACUGGGCGUAAAGGGCGCGCAGGCGGUUUGGUAAGUCAGAUGUGAAAGCCCACGGCUCAACCGUGGAAGUGCAUUUGAAACUGUCAGACUUGAGUACUAGAGGGGAAAGUGGAAUUCCCGGUGUAGAGGUGAAAUUCGUAGAUAUCGGGAGGAAUACCGGUGGCGAAGGCGACUUUCUGGCUAGAUACUGACGCUGAGGCGCGAAAGCGUGGGGAGCAAACAGGAUUAGAAACCCUAGUAGUCC